AUUGAACGCUGGCGGCAUGCCUUACACAUGCAAGUCGAACGGCAGCACGGGAGCAAUCCUGGUGGCGAGUGGCGAACGGGUGAGUAAUAUAUCGGAACGUGCCCAGUCGUGGGGAUAACGUAGCGAAAGCUACGCUAAUACCGCAUACGAUCUACGGAUGAAAGCGGGGGAUCGCAAGACCUCGCGCGAUUGGAGCGGCCGAUAUCAGAUUAGGUAGUUGGUGAGGUAAAGGCUCACCAAGCCGACGAUCUGUAGCUGGUCUGAGAGGACGACCAGCCACACUGGGACUGAGACACGGCCCAGACUCCCUACGGGAGGCAGCAGUGGGGAAUUUUGGACAAUGGGCGCAAGCCUGAUCCAGCAAUGCCGCGUGCAGGAUGAAGGCCUGGUUGUAA
Molecule: ribosomal RNA, 395 nt
Filed under: uncultured bacterium
Lineage: Bacteria
Description: bacterial SSU rRNA
Rfam family: Bacterial small subunit ribosomal RNA
Source: RNAcentral